Molecule: small nucleolar RNA, 89 nt
Organism: Raphanus sativus (radish)
Lineage: Eukaryota; Viridiplantae; Streptophyta; Magnoliopsida; Brassicales; Brassicaceae
Product: small nucleolar RNA R16
Exons: 1
Source: RefSeq, a predicted model, not a curated record
GAUGGCAAGUGAUGAAUUGAUUAUUAUGCUUAAAAACGCAGAAUAAAUAGUGUUUGACAAACAAUCUCCGCUUAUUAUCUGAUGCCAUA